GAGUUGCUUAGUGUCUCAUUUUUGCUGAGGCUGGCUUUGAACUCACACUCCUCCUGUCUUAGCCUCCCAAGCCGCAGGGAUCGUAGGCAUGAGCCACCGCACCUGGCUCUUAUCAAUCUUCUAGGAAAGAUAAAGAGAGCAGACAUUCAGUUCCCCCUUUUAUUUGUUGGUGUUGCAAGUAAAAAUACCAGUUGUCCCCUAAUAUUCUUUCUCCCUCAAUUACACAAUCCCUGGUUUUAACGAGGCACAUGGAUGCUCAGAAAAAAAGCAAACUUGUCUGAUUUCCCUACCAAAUAAGUAUAGCCAUGCAAUUAAGUUCUAGCCAAUUAGAACUGAAGAAAAAUUAUGUGCAACUUCUGAAAAGUAGCCCAGAAAAACAGGGUCAGAUUAUUUUGUUAUUUCCUCCUUCCUCCUUUCUAUGUGGAAAGCAAAAGUGGCAUCUGGAGUGUGAGCAGCCAUUUUGGACUAUGAUGUUGCUAAACAUGGUAUCACAGCAGAGAGAGAAGGAAUUGGAUGGAACACCUGGUGAUCAUGGAGCCACCACAUCAGCACUGGGCUCCUGACCCCUCCGCAUUUAAUUUAGUUAAAGAUCAUAUCAGCACCUGUGCGUCAGUAAGGAUCCUUGUCAGUCAUUUGGAAGAGAAAAGCUGUAAAUGCCUGGACUUCUGCAUUCAAUCUUGGAACUGGGUUUCACAGCAAUGGCAACUUGGGUUUAAAUAUUAAGAGAUACCAUAGGACUUGAAGAAACCUUAAAACAAGUUAUAUUUUGACCCCACAACAGACACCUGGCAAUCUCGUGACAGACUUUUCUGCAAACCCCAGUGUGGCACGGAUUUGGAUUCACCAACAUUCCCUGCCCUCUGCUAAGGCCAGCUGUAAUGGAGGGAGCGCAGCACU
Long non-coding RNA from Marmota monax (woodchuck), 897 nucleotides. RefSeq lists it as uncharacterized. Lineage: Eukaryota; Metazoa; Chordata; Mammalia; Rodentia; Sciuridae. The transcript has 2 exons. The record is from RefSeq and is a predicted model, not a curated record.